UUACGCGGGUAACAGGCGGCAGUUAUAUUUCUUCCCCGAAAACGAAAUACGGCGGCUUUUGUCUCUCAAACUCUGAUUAAGAAAAGAAAAGGUAGAAAACCCUAAAACGACUGAAACGGCGACGUUUUGAGGCGACGGUGGACUUUUUCUGCUUGAAUUUUCCAGGUGAUUUUGAAGUGGGAAAUGCGAGGGUUUUUGAAAUGCUUGAUGUUAUAGAGUAGGGUUUUUUGAAUUGGGUUUAGGGUAAAAUGGAGGUGGUGGAAGAUUGUGGGGCUAGUGAGGUAGAAAAUAGGAGGAGGAGAGUUGAAGAGAGGUGUGAGGAGUUAGAGUUGGAGAUUGUGAAGAGAAAGAGUGAGUAUGAAGAUCUUGAGAUUAAGUUUCGGGCUUUGGAAGGCGAAAAGCUUGCGAUGGAAGAAGAGAUUAGGGCAUUGAAGAGAGGAAGUGAUGAAAUUAGGAAGCAAGCUAAUGGGGGUGGAGAUGGGACGGAGAUAAUAGUUGAUUUUAAUGAGGAUAGCUUGGAGGGAGAUGGGGUCUUUCAGCUUAUGCUUGAGAACAAGGUGUUGGAGUGUGAGAAGAAAACUGCUGAAAGUGAGGUUGAGGCUUGGAAGCAGAAGUUCAAAGAAUUGAAGACGUGGGUCUUGAAGUUGGACAAGGAUUUAGUCUUGAAAGGUGGGGAGUUUCCGUGGAACUUAACUGGGGAUUCCGUUGAAGCAAGCAGGAGAACACAACCGAAUGAAAGGAUUGAACUUGAGGAUGGGUUGAAUGUUGGAGUUGGCAUGGAAAGUUCAAGGAGCAAAGAUAUAGCUGUGAAUGUUAUUGAUCUUAGCUCUACAUAUCACUCCCCUGGUAAAGAGAUCUGCCAUCUGCAAGAAGCAGGUACACCUCCUAAUGUUACACUUCAUGAGCAUCGCAGUGGUACCAAGGAAGAAGAGAGAUCUGGUAUGGAAUAUGGUAACGUUAGUCGAGCAAGAAAACAGCUGGAAUUCAAGGAAGAUAGGAGUCCUUGCAAGAAGAUGGCUCCACCUACGCCAGGUGGUGGCAGACCUUUCUCUCUCAGUGUCAUUGAUAUUAGUGACAGCGAUGAUGAAGUUACAAUUGCCGAUAACCAAAAAGUUUUGCCUACUGAGAAUCAGGGAAGCAGAAAGAUUUGCAUAUCAUCAGAUUCUGUAAUAGGAGGUCUGGCUACCAAAAGCUUUUUAAAGCAGGCACAUACUGACGGUCAUGAUCAGGAAGAUCUCGAUAAUUACAAUGAGGAAUUACUGGCUUUCUCAACACCCAAAAGAAAACGAGCUUCUAAUGUUGUGACCAGUGACUCUGAGAGUAGUGAUGAUAAUAUUCCUAUCAAUGCAGUCAAGAGAAUGGAUCUUCAGAAAAGAAUACAUGAUCAUUCUGAGAGUAGUGAUGAUAAUGUUCCUAUCAAUUCGGUCAAGAGAAUGCAUCGUCAGAAAAGAAUACACAAUCAAGUAGGAUCUGAUGUGAAUGCCAGCUUAGAGACUGCUACUACUUCUGUGGUUGAUGAUGUUAGUGUUACCUCUCCAAAGCGACAUUUAGUUAGGUUAAGAAAAGGUGGGGGAAGAGGUCGGGCGCAAAGGAAUUCAAGUCAGACAAGUGAAACUAAAAAUGAUCGAGGACCAAACAAGGGUGUUGAAGAAGAUGAGCCCGAAGAGGUUGGGUCAGAAAGUGAAGGUGAAAGCUUGGGUGGGUUUAUUGUACACAGCUCUGAUGUUUCAGAAAGUAAUGAUGCUUCUAGUGAGUCAAAUAGUGUGUCAGAUGAUGAUGUGAACUUAGAGGAGGUUCUAUCAACAUUUCAAAGGAACAAAGAUCACAACACAAGGUGGGAGUAUGAGGCAGACAUGCUUUCUGCAUUUGCUAAGGAUCCAGAGCUGUGCAUGAAAGCUGUAUGUGCUCUUUAUAGACAGCAAACUUCUGAGGAAAAAAUGUAUAGGGAGGCUUUAUGCUCCAAUUCUCGAGGCUUUAGCAAGUUUGAUGCUUCUAGGGGUUCUAAAUUGGCUAGCUUUCUCACUGAUGGAGACCCAUAUUGUGAUCUGAGAAAAACCGUAGAGGAGUUGGAGGAGCAUGACCCCAAGGCCCUUGAAACAUGUAGAACAUUUGCGACUCGUUACUCUAAGCAACUGUUUGAGAUCUACAAAAACAAAGAGGAUCCUCUCUUUCUGCCAUCUUGACUGUGCAAGCAACUUGCCGACGUAAUGAUAUGCAUGUAUAACCCACAACCUCUGCCGGAAAGUCCUAUCAGAGAUGAGGGAAGGGUUUCCAUUUUGGUUGCCAAGUGUGCCUCUUCUUGGUUUCAGAUAUGUUUAAACAUGCAACAAAAAUAGAUCUUAUUGAUCUCCAGGAGUUCAAUCUAUACGAAAUGAUGAGUUUGCUUGGAUAAAAGUCAUCGGGAUGGACCGCCUUCUAGUUGUCGGAAAUGUGCAGCAGAAUUUGCCGUGGGAGCUUUUCUUUGGCCUCCUUCAUGCUCACUAAAAGAUGACCUUUUCUAUAAAUGUUAUGCUGAUAUUAUUGGGGAUUUCAGGACCCCAUAUAUCAACUCUGUCAAGCUUUGAUUAUUGUUGCUGCUAUAAAUAAACACCUUGCAUUUGCUUCUAAAAGAGAGGUGGUUUGUGAACAAGAACAGAACACUGCCCACUCCAACUCAUAAUUUAGAAGAAUCAUCAUCUUCCAGAACCACAAUAAGAGAAUCCAUGCUGGCAAUAACUGGCAAUCAAGCACCGACCAAAUAAGACAGAACAUGAAAACCCAUUUUUGUAAUAAACUGAAAAAUUAAAAUUAAAAACAAUAAAUUUGAAGGGUUACAUGGAUUUAUGAGUCCCUAAACAUGCGGGUUAACCCUACAUGGUUAACCACCAUUUCUGGCACUAUAAAAGCUUAGGGGUUUUCAUCCUCAACCCCCUCAUCCUUUCGACCUCUAAAAAUCAAAAGCCAUUCGUCUCUGAAUUGUUAAACUUCUUCCUCUCUCCCGCUCUACGUUACGUGCUCUUCUUGUUUUCAAGAAGAGAGCUUCUAACGUAACAAGGAGAGAGGAAGGGACAAAAAUGGCUGUUAAUGCUGCACCAUUUAACGGAAUGGUUGGCGUCAUUGCACUCAUUUUCGCCGUCAUUUUGCCCAUGAUUCAUGCAGCUGGCCUGGCUCCGGCUCCGGCUCCGGCUCUGGCUCCGACAAGCGAUGGCACGGCAAUUGACCAAGGGAUAGCAUACAUUCUAAUGCUGCUGGCGUUGGUUCUCACAUACCUGAUCCACUGAACCAUCCAUCUGAUCGAUGAUUCAAGUUAUAUAUUAAAGCAAGAACAGGCAUAUAACUGGGUUCUUAGGGUGGUUGUGAUGUAAUGGGGUUGUAAAUUCGUUUGGAUUGGGUGUAUGCUAGAGAGAAAUUCUUUAUUUUGGGCAGGAAGUUUCAGAUUGAAUAAAUCAAAGUAUUGAAUUGGUUCUCCA
Molecule: RNA transcript, 3449 nt
Organism: Rosa chinensis
Lineage: Eukaryota; Viridiplantae; Streptophyta; Magnoliopsida; Rosales; Rosaceae
Exons: 6
Source: RefSeq, a predicted model, not a curated record